This 382-nucleotide ribosomal RNA is filed under the name uncultured eukaryote. Its description in RNAcentral is "partial 18S ribosomal RNA". It matches the Rfam family "Eukaryotic small subunit ribosomal RNA", at positions 592 to 976 of the family's 1831-position model. The record is from RNAcentral.
UGUAAGCGUAUACCAAAGUUGUUGCAGUUAAAACGCUCGUAGUCGGAUUUUGGCGGUUCCGGAAGUGUGCCGCGUCGUGCGGCCGCUUUGCAGGGACUGCUUUUGUGGGUGUGCGUCAGAUGAGGGCUGUUAAUUCGGUAACGUCUGUACGCAACCACUUUUUACUGUGAGAAAAUCAGAGUGCUCAAAGCAGGCAUUGCCGUGAAUGUAUUAGCAUGGAAUAAUAGAAUAGGACUUAGUCUUAUUUUGUUGGUUUGUUAGGACCGAGUAAUGAUUAAGAGGGACAGUUGGGGGCAUUUGUAUUUCGGCGCUAGAGGUGAAAUUCUUAGAUUGCCGAAAGACAAACUGCUGCGAAAGCGUCUGCCAAGGAUGUUUUCAUUGA